This is a long non-coding RNA of Sphaeramia orbicularis (orbiculate cardinalfish), 311 nucleotides long. RefSeq lists it as uncharacterized. The transcript is spliced from 3 exons. NCBI's taxonomy places the organism in Eukaryota, Metazoa, Chordata, Actinopteri, Kurtiformes, Apogonidae. The record is from RefSeq and is a predicted model, not a curated record.
CUGAACAUCAGCAGCACUCAACCAAGACAUGAUUCCCAGCAGGACACAGCACUUAAAGAAGGUGCAUCCCAAGAUUCUUUAAAAAGGUCCAAAGGAAAGCAAGCUGGGAAGGCGAGAACCAAGUGGACAAGUGAUGAAGUAAAAGCAAUUGAGCGGCACAUGUUAGAUUUUAUAACAAGCUGCAAAGUACCAGGUAAAACGGCAUGUGAGUCCUGCCUCAAAGCAGAGGCGGUCGCUCUGAAGGACAGAGACUGGGCUGCCAUCAAAUUCUACAUUCACAACAGAAUCACUUCAUUAAAAAGACAGAUGAA